Kogia breviceps (pygmy sperm whale) is the source of this 449-nucleotide non-coding RNA. Lineage: Eukaryota; Metazoa; Chordata; Mammalia; Artiodactyla; Physeteridae. The record is from RefSeq and is a predicted model, not a curated record.
GCGCCCCUCACCUGCGAGCCGGGGGCCCGAGCGGGGCUGACGGGCAGCGUCGAGGUGGCCAAGAUACUACUGAGGUGUUAGAUUAACACAGCGAGGUCACCACGGAACACACCGUAGCCGUUCGUGAGCCACGACCGUGAUCUAGACAAGUGCUCGUGAAUGCGGGUCUGAAGCCUUCAAGUGGAUUAUACUGCAUAGAGAGACUUACCGGGGGGCACUGAGCCAGCUUAUCUGCUGCUACCAUCUGAACAUUGAGGUUUCUCUAACGCCUGGCUUCACAGAAGAUAGCUGAUGUUCCCUGCUUCUACGUUUAAUCUGCCCCGGUAUAUUGUUUAAAACAGGAAAAGAUAAUCCAGUCCCCUAUAGAUAUGUAAUUCAGAAAAGGAGUAUUUUAGUAGCCUUUUCAGAUAAUUGUGGAUAUCUUUCUUUGAUACUACAGUAAACAAGUG